RNAcentral lists this ribosomal RNA (249 nucleotides) under uncultured fungus. RNAcentral's name for it is "partial 28S ribosomal RNA". It matches the Rfam family "Eukaryotic large subunit ribosomal RNA", at positions 325 to 574 of the family's 3401-position model. Lineage: Eukaryota; Fungi. RNAcentral also lists the same sequence under 1 other name. The record is from RNAcentral.
GGCGAGAGACCGAUAGCGAACAAGUACCGUGAGGGAAAGAUGAAAAGAACUUUGAAAAGAGAGUUAAACAGUACGUGAAAUUGUUGAAAGGGAAACGAUUGAAGCCAGUCGUACCGUCGGGAAAUCAACUUUUUGAGCGCUUGUCGUGGGUGACUUUGAGCUUCGCGGCCUUCGUUGCUUUGCGUUAUGGUGCUUUUGGGGUGUACUUUUCCGUAUGGUAGGUCAAUAUCGAUUUUGAUCGUCAUAAAA